AGAACGAACGCUGGCGGCAGGCUUAACACAUGCAAGUCGAACGCGUGUAGCAAUACACGAGUGGCGCACGGGUGAGUAACGCGUGGAUAUCUGCCUUUUGGUUCGGAAUAACCCCGGGAAACUGGGGCUAAUACCGGAUGGUUCCUUCGGGAUAAAGAUUUAUCGCCAAAAGAUGAGUCCGCGUACGAUUAGCUAGUUGGUGAGGUAAUGGCUCACCAAGGCGACGAUCGUUAGCUGGUCUGAGAGGACGAUCAGCCACACUGGGACUGAGACACGGCCCAGACUCCUACGGGAGGCAGCAGUGGGGAAUAUUGGACAAUGGGGGAAACCCUGAUCCAGCCAUGCCGCGUGCGGGAAGAAGGCCUUCGGGUUGUAAACCGCUUUUGUCCGGGAAGAAAUGGCAUCCCCUAAUACGGGAUGUUCCUGACGGUACUGGAAGAAUAAGCACCGGCUAACUACGUGCCAGCAGCCGC
Molecule: ribosomal RNA, 473 nt
Filed under: uncultured bacterium
Lineage: Bacteria
Description: SSU rRNA
Rfam family: Bacterial small subunit ribosomal RNA
Source: RNAcentral